This 305-nucleotide ribosomal RNA is filed under the name uncultured bacterium. RNAcentral describes it as "bacterial SSU rRNA". It matches the Rfam family "Bacterial small subunit ribosomal RNA", at positions 338 to 660 of the family's 1533-position model. The record is from RNAcentral.
CCUACGGGACGCAGCAGUGGGGAAUAUUGCACAAUGGGGGAAACCCUGAUGCAGCGACGCCGCGUGGGCGAGGAAGUACCUCGGUAUGUAAAGCCCUAUCAGCAGGGAAGAUAAUGACGGUACCUGACUAAGAAGCCCCGGCUAACUACGUGCCAGCAGCCGCGGUAAUACGUAGGGGGCAAGCGUUAUCCGGAUUUACUGGGGGUAAAGGGAGCGUAGGCGGCCACGCAAGUCAGAAGUGAAAACCCGGGGCUCCACCCUGGGAGUGCUUUUGAACCUGGGCGGCUAGAGUGUCGGAGGGGUAA